CCUACGGGGGGCAGCAGUAAGGAAUAUUGGUCAAUGGACGCAAGUCUGAACCAGCCAUGCCGCGUGAAGGAUGAAGGUCCUCUGGAUUGUAAACUUCUUUUAUCUGGGACGAAACCACUCUUUUCUAAGAGUGUUGACGGUACCAGAGGAAUAAGCACCGGCUAACUCCGUGCCAGCAGCCGCGGUAAUACGGAGGGUGCAAGCGUUAUCCGGAUUCACUGGGUUUAAAGGGUGCGUAGGCGGAUCAGUAAGUCCGUGGUGAAAUCUCCAAGCUUAACUUGGAAACUGCCAUGGAUACUAUUGAUCUUGAAUGUUGUGGAGGUUUGCGGAAUAUGUCAUGUAGCGGUGAAAUGCUUAGAUAUGACAUAGAACACCGAUUGCGAAGGCAGCAGGCUACACAAAUAUUGACGCUGAGGCACGAAAGCGUGGGGAUCAAACAGGAUUAGAUACCCGAGUAGUC
Molecule: ribosomal RNA, 460 nt
Filed under: uncultured Chitinophaga sp.
Lineage: Bacteria; Pseudomonadati; Bacteroidota; Chitinophagia; Chitinophagales; Chitinophagaceae
Description: bacterial SSU rRNA
Rfam family: Bacterial small subunit ribosomal RNA
Source: RNAcentral